GCUCAGAAUGAACGUUGGCGGCGUGGAUUAGGCAUGCAAGUCGUGCGAGAAACAAUUAGCUUGCUAAGAGGUGGACAGCGGCGAAAGGGAGAGUAACGCGUGGUUACGUGCCCCGAGGUCCAGGAUAGCGUUGGGAAACCGGCGGUAAUACUGGAUGAUAUCUUCGGAUCAAAGGUGUGAUUCCGCCUUGGGAUCGGACCGCGUACUAUUAGCUUGUUGGUGGGGUAAUGGCCUACCAAGGCUGUGAUGGUUACCGGGUGUGAGAGCAUGGCCCGGCUCACUGGGACUGAGACACUGCCCAGACACCUACGGGUGGCUGCAGUCGAGAAUCUUCGGCAAUGGACGAAAGUCUGACCGAGCGACGCCGCGUGCGGGAUGAAGGCCCUCGGGUUGUAAACCGCUGUCAGUUGGAAGGAAGGGCCUGUGCAGAGCAGGUCUUGACCGAUCUUCAGAGGAAGGACGGGCUAAGUUCGUGCCAGCAGCCGCGGUAAGACGAACCGUCCAAACGUUAUUCGGUAUCACUGGGCUUAAAGCGUGCGUAGGCGGCCUGGAAGGUGAGAUGUGAAAGCCCACGGCUCAACCGUGGAAUUGCGUUUCAAACCACCAGGCUUGAGGAAGACAGGGGUGUUGGGAACUUAUGGUGGAGCGGUGAAAUGCGUUGAUAUCAUAGGGAACACCGGUGGCGAAGGCGCAACACUGGGUCUUUUCUGACGCUGAGGCACGAAAGCUAGGGUAGCGAACGGGAUUAGAUACCCCGGUAGUCCUAGCCGUAAACGAUGAGCACUGGGUUGACGGG
RNAcentral lists this ribosomal RNA (796 nucleotides) under uncultured organism. RNAcentral's name for it is "bacterial SSU rRNA". It matches the Rfam family "Bacterial small subunit ribosomal RNA", at positions 22 to 828 of the family's 1533-position model. The record is from RNAcentral.